This 465-nucleotide ribosomal RNA is filed under the name Vreelandella stevensii. Its description in RNAcentral is "partial 16S ribosomal RNA". It matches the Rfam family "Bacterial small subunit ribosomal RNA", at positions 338 to 795 of the family's 1533-position model. Lineage: Bacteria; Pseudomonadati; Pseudomonadota; Gammaproteobacteria; Oceanospirillales; Halomonadaceae. The record is from RNAcentral.
CCUACGGGUGGCAGCAGUGGGGAAUAUUGGACAAUGGGCGAAAGCCUGAUCCAGCCAUGCCGCGUGUGUGAAGAAGGCCUUCGGGUUGUAAAGCACUUUCAGUGGGGAAGAAAGCCUUGGGGCUAAUACCCUCGAGGAAGGACAUCACCCACAGAAGAAGCACCGGCUAACUCCGUGCCAGCAGCCGCGGUAAUACGGAGGGUGCGAGCGUUAAUCGGAAUUACUGGGCGUAAAGCGCGCGUAGGCGGUCUGAUAAGCCGGUUGUGAAAGCCCCGGGCUCAACCUGGGAACGGCAUCCGGAACUGUCAGGCUAGAGUGCAGGAGAGGAAGGUAGAAUUCCCGGUGUAGCGGUGAAAUGCGUAGAGAUCGGGAGGAAUACCAGUGGCGAAGGCGGCCUUCUGGACUGACACUGACGCUGAGGUGCGAAAGCGUGGGUAGCAAACAGGAUUAGAUACCCUGGUAAUC